Molecule: long non-coding RNA, 485 nt
Organism: Gavialis gangeticus (Gharial)
Lineage: Eukaryota; Metazoa; Chordata; Crocodylia; Gavialidae
Exons: 2
Source: RefSeq, a predicted model, not a curated record
ACCAGGGCAAUGUGUGAGUGCAGCCCUCCCCAUCCAUCCCCAACACAGCCGUUCGGGGGAUCAGAUUUCCCUUCACCCAGGGUCAUGGCUGUUGCAAUCCCAGGUUUGAAACGCAGUUGAUUUUGUCUGAAACAGGACAAAAAAAAUACUGUCUCAUCUGCCAAGGGGCAGCACCUCCUCUUGCUCUGCAACAAUUUGCUGUGGUUCAGAAGGGAAGGAACCAGCAGCAGAGAGCCUGGGGCACCCAUUUCUCAGCUGGGGAAGAAAGUGUGUGUUUGUCUUUACAUUUCUUCUGGCCUCUCGGUUGUAGCUGAGUCAGACUCCUACGAGGAUUUCUUACAGGAGUCAGAAGGGGACCAAAGCACGCACUCUGCCACCAUUGCACCAGUAAAAUAAAUAUAGGAGAGGAAACUCUCCAACUGCAUUGAUAUUGUCACAGGUCUUGAUGUUUUAUGCUUAUACAGAAUUAUGUAUCUCUGUUUGCA